AUUGAACGCUGGCGGAAUGCUUUACACAUGCAAGUCGAACGGCAGCACGGACUUCGGUCUGGUGGCGAGUGGCGAACUGGUGAGUAAUGUAUCGGAACGUGCCCAGUCGUGGGGGAUAACGUAGUGAAAAUUACGCUAAUACCGCAUACGAUCUAUGGAUGAAAGCGGGGGAUCGCAAGACCUCGCGCGAUUGGAGCGGCCGAUAUCAGAUUAGGUCGUUGGUGGGGUAAAGGCCCACCAAGCCAACGAUCUGUAGCUGGUCUGAGAGGACGACCAGCCACACUGGAACUGAGACACGGUCCAGACUCCUACGGGAGGCAGCAGUGGGGAAUUUUUGACAAUUGGCGAAAGCCUGAUCCAGCCAUUCCGCGUGCAGGAUGAAGGCCCUCGGGUUGUAAACUGCUUUUGUACAGAACGAAAAGGUUUCUACUAAUACUAGGAGCUCAUGACGGUACUGUAAGAAUAAGCACCGGCUAACUACGUGCCAGCCGCCGCGGUAA
This 500-nucleotide ribosomal RNA is filed under the name uncultured bacterium. RNAcentral's name for it is "partial 16S ribosomal RNA". It matches the Rfam family "Bacterial small subunit ribosomal RNA", at positions 30 to 523 of the family's 1533-position model. The record is from RNAcentral.